UGGGGAAUAUUGCACAAUGGGGGAAACCCUGAUGCAGCGACGCCGCGUGAGCGAAGAAGGUUUUCGAAUCGUAAAGCUCUGUCCUAUGGGAAGAUAAUGACGGUACCAUAGGAGGAAGCCCCGGCUAACUACGUGCCAGCAGCCGCGGUAAUACGUAGGGGGCGAGCGUUAUCCGGAUUCAUUGGGCGUAAAGCGCGCGCAGGCGGUUGCUCAAGCGGAACCUCUAAUCUCGGGGCUUAACCUCGAGCCGGGUUCCGAACUGGACGACUCGAGUGCGGUAGAGGCAGAUGGAAUUCCCGGUGUAGCGAUGGAAUGCGCAGAUUUCGGGAAGAACACCAACGGCGAAGGCAGUCUGCUGGGCCGUCACUGACGCUGAGGCGCGAAAGCUGGGGGAGCGAACAGG
Molecule: ribosomal RNA, 403 nt
Filed under: Verrucomicrobiota bacterium
Lineage: Bacteria; Pseudomonadati; Verrucomicrobiota
Description: Verrucomicrobia bacterium partial 16S ribosomal RNA
Rfam family: Bacterial small subunit ribosomal RNA
Source: RNAcentral